Xenia sp. Carnegie-2017 is the source of this 203-nucleotide long non-coding RNA. RefSeq lists it as uncharacterized. The record is from RefSeq and is a predicted model, not a curated record. NCBI's taxonomy places the organism in Eukaryota, Metazoa, Cnidaria, Anthozoa, Malacalcyonacea, Xeniidae. The transcript has 2 exons.
GUCGGAAAUCAGAAAUGGUUAUUUUUGAGGUGAUAAUCUUUAACGACAGUUCCGGAACAUGCCAACGUAACAUGGGUAUAUUUGGAUAUCAGAGGAUAUGGUUUUGCAGAGUAUUUUAUAAUUGGCAGCUCUUCUCCUGAAUAUCAUAGAUAAAUAUUAUGAAAAGAAAUUAAAUACAGAUUUCAUACUUCGCUUCAAAGUAA